This 159-nucleotide ribosomal RNA is filed under the name Teloschistes exilis. RNAcentral's name for it is "5.8S ribosomal RNA". It matches the Rfam family "5.8S ribosomal RNA". Rfam says of the family: 5.8S ribosomal RNA (5.8S rRNA) is a component of the large subunit of the eukaryotic ribosome. It is transcribed by RNA polymerase I as part of the 45S precursor that also contains 18S and 28S rRNA. The record is from RNAcentral. Lineage: Eukaryota; Fungi; Ascomycota; Lecanoromycetes; Teloschistales; Teloschistaceae. RNAcentral also lists the same sequence under 2 other names.
AAAACUUUCAACAACGGAUCUCUUGGUUCUGGCAUCGAUGAAGAACGCAGCGAAAUGCGAUAAGUAAUGUGAAUUGCAGAAUUCAGUGAAUCAUCGAAUCUUUGAACGCACAUUGCGCCCCUUGGUAUUCCGAGGGGCAUACCUGUUCGAGCGUCAUUA